Molecule: ribosomal RNA, 418 nt
Filed under: uncultured bacterium
Lineage: Bacteria
Description: bacterial SSU rRNA
Rfam family: Bacterial small subunit ribosomal RNA
Source: RNAcentral
GACGAACGCUGGCGGCGUGCCUAAUACAUGCAAGUAGAACGCUGAAGACUUUAGCUUGCUAAAGUUGGAAGAGUUGCGAACGGGUGAGUAACGCGUAGGUAACCUGCCUACUAGCGGGGGAUAACUAUUGGAAACGAUAGCUAAUACCGCAUAACAGCAUUUAACCCAUGUUAGAUGCUUGAAAGGAGCAAUUGCUUCACUAGUAGAUGGACCUGCGUUGUAUUAGCUAGUUGGUGAGGUAACGGCUCACCAAGGCGACGAUACAUAGCCGACCUGAGAGGGUGAUCGGCCACACUGGGAUUGAGACACGGCCCAGACUCCUACGGGAGGCAGCAGUAGGGAAUCUUCGGCAAUGGGGGCAACCCUGACCGAGCAACGCCGCGUGAGUGAAGAAGGUUUUCGGAUCGUAAAGCUCUGU